CAGACUGCAUUGGUUAAACUUAUGGGGCUGUCACAUGAUGAACGAACGACUCAAUCCCGAAGAUUUGUAAAACAGAGCUGGCAACGAUGGCCACAUUUGUAUUCAAAGCCACAUAUUACCUGCUUCAAUCUACAGUCAAACUGACAGACGAGCCACACUCUCUAAGUCAAGGACAUAUGACUAAGCACUGGAGUCUGCUCAGCUUUGAUUCACAGUUGAUUCCAGCUGUUCAUGAGCCUGAGGAUGGCGUGCGGACGCAUGUGACAGAUGUGCUAGCAAAAGUAUAAUGAGUGCAGAUUUGUACCAAUGAACUCGCUGAAUCAUAAUGAGCUUCAACUGAAAACCCCAACAGGUUUUUGUAGACUUUAAUGAAGACAGACAGUAGGUGAUGAGAUGCCACUGAUACCCGCUGAUUUACAUACAUCUUGUAAAUCAAAAAGAAAACAAGAUUAUGUUUCAGCUUCUACAUUUUUGAUAUCAUGAAGCAGGAAUUCUCUUUGUAAAUGGACAGUGCUGUUUCAGGGUUACUUUUGGUGUGGACCUGUUGGACGUCAGCCUUUUUUACAUCAACCAAAAACAGGCCAAACUCUGACAUCAAAUAGACACAGCUUUUAUUUGAAAAGAGAAGAAUAAGGUAAAUGACAGUUCACACAGGACAUGUUCUUGCAGUUUAUCUGCACUGUUUUGUUUUUUUAAUUGGUCAUGUACGCACAGUAAACCUAUAGAUUGAUGUCACUGAUCCAUUUCUGGGUUCUGAAAUC
Molecule: long non-coding RNA, 761 nt
Organism: Carassius carassius (crucian carp)
Lineage: Eukaryota; Metazoa; Chordata; Actinopteri; Cypriniformes; Cyprinidae
Exons: 2
Source: RefSeq, a predicted model, not a curated record